GAGCCGGCCGCCGCGCCCGGCAGGGGGCAGCCGCCCUCCCGCAGCGCCGCCCGGACCCGGAGCCGGGCUGUAACGGCGCGAGGCGGGGCGCGCGGACGCGGGGCAGCGGGAAACGAGCGCGUGCCCGGCCUUCCCGCCGCUGCUGCUGCUGCGGCGGCACGGGGGGGGAGAAGGCGGGAAAGGAGGGCGGGAGCGCCGCCCUGGGCUCAGCGCACGCCCUUGUAAAUCACACCCUGGUGCAGAACUUCGCGUUCGCUUUUUGGCUGUUGCUUCGCUCACACGUGUCGUCUGGCGCUACUAGAGCUAGCAGAUGACAGCGUGACGGUUAGCCGCAUUUCCCGGCCUUCCGGGCAGCUGCUUCAGCAAAAGUAACAAAACCCGUAGCAACUCGCGUUGGCGGCAGCACUGGGGCGCGGCCUGUGGAAACCUCCGCACCUCCCGUACCGGUAAUGGCUGCAGGCGCGUCGGGGACAGAAGCGACGGGCAACGCUGGUGGAGCCGGGAGCGCAGGAGGGGCCGGCGCCGCCCGCGUGCCGUAUGGGAUCCCCGCAGCCGGGCUGAGUAGUUUGAAUGACCCACACCUCCAUUUACUGAAGUACUGAAAUGCGUGGGUGAGCCCACAGAGCUCAGCGGUGUGCAACAUGAGAAGUCAAAGUGCUUCACAGUGGAAUUUAUUUGAGAAUAGGUACAGCUGCAAGAUGAAGAACAGGAGAAGUUCCUUUUUUGGGGAUAUUGAAAGACAAGAACUUUGUACAUGGCGGAGAGAAGAGAUAAGAAACAUGCAUGCAAAAACAACAUGGUUGACACAAGCAAAGCCAUUGACUAAAAGUGACUUGCAUAACAAUCCUUUAACUGUGGAAAAGCAAUUGUGAAUAAGUUGUCUUUAUCAGUUAGGAAAAUGAAGCAAAACAAAAGUACCAAUUACAUAAUGGCUGUGCAUCCACUGAAGAAUGUACGUAGAUCAGAGCCUGCUAAGCAGAAAACAACAGCGCGUUUAGAUCCAUUAUGAGUGAGAGAACUUGUUUUUGAGGCCACACCGACAGGAAGGAUCGUUGUAUUAAGAUAAAUAAAACGUCCAGAAGGGUGAUUAAAAGCAUUAUGUUGGACUUAGUGGAAUUAAACAUCUGGAUAGAAGUGGUGUUGGACACAGGCUGGCAUUUGGUCAGGAAUAGACUUCUCCGGUGCAGAAAAACAAAACAAGUGACUCAGUAGAACAAAGGCUGCAGUUGAAUGUGUUUGCCCGCAGGAUUACUGAAAAAAAAUGAGCUGUGGAAGGGCACAAAUAGAAAACCAAAAAUGGGACAGUAGCUGUAACAAAAUGAAUGGUAGCAAUGCUGACAGAAGACAAGACACAUGGAGCUAUGUGAAACUGGUAGUGUUUUUGUUCCUUCUACUAAUGGUGCUUCCGCAUUCCAGUUGAAGGAUUGGCUGUAACGCUGUCUGCUCUGUUUAUCUAUUAAUUUCUCUUGUAUGGUACCCAGUUGUGUUUUCAAAAGAAGUACAUAUUGUAUUUUACAAGACCAGCACUGUCAGACCCUGCACCUACAACAGGAGCUGUCUGCAAGGGCUGAUUUUGUUAUGCCAUGAAGCAUUUGUGUUCUUACUACGAUAAGCUGUUGUUCUACCAUUAAUUGUUUUGGUAGGCUUUUUUCCCCACUGUCAUAUUCUCAUUACAAACAUUUUUCUAUGAAAUAACACUAAUGAAGAUCCAACCAUCUAUCAGUACAAAGGGAAAUCUCACAUGAUCUUCUCAGCUAUAGCUGCUAACACUACGUUAACUCAAAGUCAGGCAUCCUACUGCUGUCAAAACCAAUAUCAAAUAUUAUUGGGAGCUGCAAUAUAUAAUGCCUUCAGAAAAACACACAUCUGAUAUCAAACAGCAUCUGAAUCUCUUUUCCCACAGGAUCAAAGCUAAAGCUUUGAUAGCCACACGAUAACCUUUGGUUAGAUGUAUUUUGCAGGUGGGUAUUGCUAAAAGUUAGCCAGUAACACAAUAAAGCAGGAGAUUAAUUAUGUAACAUGAUUAGAGACACUGGAGCACCACCAUUGGCAUAAGGCAUUACUGUUAUCAUUUACCUGUUCAAAUUACAUACAGGGAACGGAACUUUUCUAGUCUUCCGCAUUGCACAUUCCUAAUUUUACCUGAUCUCUCAAUUUUCAGGCAAGUUCUGGACGUUACUUUUGGUCAAUGCCUGUGAAAACCGUUCUCUCUAGAAAAUCCUGUGCAUGGAAUUACGGCAUCUCCAUAAUUGCUGUGAAAUCAUCUCAUCUACUUAUUCUGGAAGAAGCUGGAGGUGACAGCCACCUGCUGCCACAGAGCAACUCCGAGCCAGAACCACUCCUGAGCACCGGUAAAUAGUACUUCACUAAGUACUGAAGACAACUGAGAUGCCAGGAGAAACUUCUGGAAAUUAAAUCCUUUUAACUUCCUUUUACUACUCUUAUAAUUAAUUAAGACCUGUAAUUAUCCACUGGUUGAAGCAGAGCCUUAUAAAGCUGAAAAUUACUCACAAUUUGCAGCUGCAGAGACCUCAGUCAUUUCCCUUCAUUUUAUUGGAAAAUUUAGAAAUCUUCUCUUGGUGUAUACGUUCAUUCUGUUGAACAUAAAUUGGUAGGAUUUUGUUGCAGCAUGAAACAGCGAGACUAUUUCUGAUCAGUAUCAACUUCUUCCCGAUUCUUGGUUAAAUGCAUGCAUGUGGUUUUGCUUUUAAGUUCUAAAUACAGUCAGCUAAUUUUGAAACCACAACACGUUUUAGUAAAACAGAUUUAUCCAGUUGUACCUUUCAAAGCCCAGGGAUGGAGGCUGCACAAUAGCUCUGGGUCUGAGGAGCAGAGGGGGAUAAUCCCUUCUCUCAAUCCAGCAGCUGUGCUCCUGUUAGUGCAGCACAGGAUGCUAUUGCCUUUCUUUGCUGCCAGCGCACACUGCUGACCUCAAUUCAACCCUUUUCAGUAGAGCUGCUCUCCAGCCAGUCAGUCCCUUUAUCUCUCAUUUCUGGUCUACCAGAAGAAGGUGAUGUUGCUGUCCUUAAAGUGGAAGUUUGGUCCUUACAUUGGAAUUCAGUACUACUAAACCUGGGAUAAUUUUGCUGUUCAAUAACUUUGCUCCCAUCCUUCUUCCAUCCCUUUUUGAACUGCAUUUAUGCUUUUAACUUUGCUAAAUAAGGCUUGCUCCUUUGCAUGCCAAAGAGAUAACAAACGUAUGACACCUGAGUCAUUAGUAACAUCAGUACUCAUCAGUAAACUAAGCAUACUGAGCCACCUAAUGAAGACAAGAAUUAAAUGCUGCUAUAUGAUAAAUACACUGCAGAGAAUGGGGCUGCGGGCAAUGCUGACUUCAGGAAGGAAGCAAUCAAUCGGAAAUUUGUUUUUUAACCAAGGCUCUGAACACUUCUAAAAAAGUAGUUAUCUGCAAUACCAGGUUGGUAGGAGAGGUGGGGAAAUAAAAGUGCUCCCCCAUGGACCAGCUGAUCUAUUUCUGGACCACAGUUUGCACCACCUGCCUGCCAAAGAGCCUUCAGCAUACACAUCCUAAGGAGGGGGGUUAAAAAGAAAGGAGCUGCAGACAGACCAAGCCUGCAUUUAGCCUAGGAUAUAUGGAUGGCAGUUAAAGGAAGAGUAAAGCAACACGUGCUAUUUGCCCUAAGAAUCCUCACUGUUUCUCAUCAUUUUGGGGGGGAGGAGAUAAAUCCUAACACUUGUUGC
This 3702-nucleotide long non-coding RNA is filed under the name Gallus gallus (chicken). Lineage: Eukaryota; Metazoa; Chordata; Aves; Galliformes; Phasianidae. The record is from RNAcentral.